Molecule: non-coding RNA, 363 nt
Organism: Pelobates cultripes (western spadefoot toad)
Lineage: Eukaryota; Metazoa; Chordata; Amphibia; Anura; Pelobatidae
Source: the annotation of a GenBank genome assembly
UUCGAAUCGGUGAGCUUGUGAGCCCUAGCAAACGGAUCCCGGGGGGCUUGUUGUUCAACGAUGUGUCGGUGGUGUCGGAUUUAGUGCGUUUUUUGGUACGAAGGUCCAAAACCGACAUCUUCGGCAAAGGGGCAUGGGUUACCCUCCGCGCUAUUCCGGGUUCGGCUGUCUGCCCUGUCGCAUCUUUUCAGUCUUAUUGUCUUGGUCGCCCGGACAUUGAGGGCCCUCUACUAAUUCAUGGGGACGGUUCCUUCCUUUCUCGGUUCCAAUUUCUUCGGGUCUUUCGGUUGGCACUCGACCAACUGGGUAUUUCGAGUGCAGACUUUGGGGGACAUUCUUUUCGAAUUGGGGCCGCAACUGAAG